This 535-nucleotide ribosomal RNA is filed under the name Salmonella enterica subsp. enterica serovar Infantis. RNAcentral describes it as "bacterial SSU rRNA". It matches the Rfam family "Bacterial small subunit ribosomal RNA", at positions 980 to 1515 of the family's 1533-position model. RNAcentral also lists the same sequence under 1 other name. The record is from RNAcentral. Lineage: Bacteria; Pseudomonadati; Pseudomonadota; Gammaproteobacteria; Enterobacterales; Enterobacteriaceae.
CUUGACAUCCACAGAAGAAUCCAGAGAUGGAUUUGUGCCUUCGGGAACUGUGAGACAGGUGCUGCAUGGCUGUCGUCAGCUCGUGUUGUGAAAUGUUGGGUUAAGUCCCGCAACGAGCGCAACCCUUAUCCUUUGUUGCCAGCGGUCCGGCCGGGAACUCAAAGGAGACUGCCAGUGAUAAACUGGAGGAAGGUGGGGAUGACGUCAAGUCAUCAUGGCCCUUACGACCAGGGCUACACACGUGCUACAAUGGCGCAUACAAAGAGAAGCGACCUCGCGAGAGCAAGCGGACCUCAUAAAGUGCGUCGUAGUCCGGAUUGGAGUCUGCAACUCGACUCCAUGAAGUCGGAAUCGCUAGUAAUCGUGGAUCAGAAUGCCACGGUGAAUACGUUCCCGGGCCUUGUACACACCGCCCGUCACACCAUGGGAGUGGGUUGCAAAAGAAGUAGGUAGCUUAACCUUCGGGAGGGCGCUUACCACUUUGUGAUUCAUGACUGGGGUGAAGUCGUAACAAGGUAACCGUAGGGGAACCUGC